UACGGAGGGUGCAAGCGUUAUCCGGAUUCACUGGGUUUAAAGGGUGCGUAGGAGGGCAGGUAAGUCAGUGGUGAAAUCCCCGAGCUUAACUUGGGAACUGCCGUUGAUACUAUCUGUCUUGAAUGUUGUGGAGGUGAGCGGAAUAUGUCAUGUAGCGGUGAAAUGCUUAGAUAUGACAUAGAACACCAAUUGCGAAGGCAGCUCGCUACACGAUUAUUGACUCUGAGGCACGAAAGCGUGGGGAUCAAACAGG
RNAcentral lists this ribosomal RNA (253 nucleotides) under uncultured bacterium. RNAcentral's name for it is "partial 16S ribosomal RNA". It matches the Rfam family "Bacterial small subunit ribosomal RNA", at positions 524 to 776 of the family's 1533-position model. The record is from RNAcentral.